CAGAGUUUUAAUGGAGACAAGAGGCAGAGAAGAAAAACUUACUGUAAAGGUGAAGUAUGAGAAAGACAUGCAUGGAAUAAAACAGCAGUAUUUGACAAAAUACAGAAAAGACCUAAGUUCUAGCUUCAACUGCACUAGGACAAGAAGCAGAUGAACAUGUACAGCCAGUAUUGGGCCACCAUGCCCGUCCCACCUAGACUCAUACCUUGUCUCAUCCACUCGACCUCGUCCUCGGUGACAAAGCUGCACAAGGCUUUUGCCAUUGCCAGUCGUAUUGCUCCAGCCUGCGCCGACCUCCCGCCCCCUGAGACUGUGCAGGUCACGUCGUGCUUUCCCAGCCGGUCAACAAAGUGGAAAGGGAACAUCAGCUGUUC
Molecule: long non-coding RNA, 374 nt
Filed under: Pan troglodytes (chimpanzee)
Lineage: Eukaryota; Metazoa; Chordata; Mammalia; Primates; Hominidae
Description: long non-coding RNA NONPTRT010661
Source: RNAcentral